UAGGGAAUCUUCCACAAUGGACGCAAGUCUGAUGGAGCAACGCCGCGUGAGUGAAGAAGGGUUUCGGCUCGUAAAGCUCUGUUGGUAGUGAAGAAAGAUAGAGGUAGUAACUGGCCUUUAUUUGACGGUAAUUACUUAGAAAGUCACGGCUAACUACGUGCCAGCAGCCGCGGUAAUACGUAGGUGGCAAGCGUUGUCCGGAUUUAUUGGGCGUAAAGCGAGUGCAGGCGGUUCAAUAAGUCUGAUGUGAAAGCCUUCGGCUCAACCGGAGAAUUGCAUCAGAAACUGUUGAACUUGAGUGCAGAAGAGGAGAGUGGAACUCCAUGUGUAGCGGUGGAAUGCGUAGAUAUAUGGAAGAACACCAGUGGCGAAGGCGGCUCUCUNNNCUGCAACUGACGCUGAGGCUCGAAAGCAUGGGUAGCGAACAGGAUUAGAUACCCUGGUAGUCCAUGCCGUAAACGAUGAGUGCUAAGUGUUGGGAGGUUUCCGCCUCUCAGUGCUGCAGCUAACGCAUUAAGCACUCCGCCUGGGGAGUACGACCGCAAGGUUG
This 550-nucleotide ribosomal RNA is filed under the name uncultured bacterium. RNAcentral describes it as "bacterial SSU rRNA". It matches the Rfam family "Bacterial small subunit ribosomal RNA", at positions 355 to 896 of the family's 1533-position model. The record is from RNAcentral.